This is a long non-coding RNA of Silurus meridionalis, 902 nucleotides long. RefSeq lists it as uncharacterized. Lineage: Eukaryota; Metazoa; Chordata; Actinopteri; Siluriformes; Siluridae. The record is from RefSeq and is a predicted model, not a curated record. The transcript is spliced from 3 exons.
GGCGGGCGCCGGAGGAAGGCGGGAGGGGUCGCGAGUGGCCGCCGGCGGACGUCAAACUGGAAAGGCGUCCCCGGGAGUGUGUGGUUGAGCCCCGGCGUUUCCAUCUCUGUGGUUCUCUGGCUCUCGUACUGGUCCGGCCUCUGGGGAUGGAUAGAGAACGAGAUUGAUGGAGUGUAUACAGACAUCUUCCAGUCUCUCCACAGCACGAAGGAACGAGAGGAGAGCCAAUGAGAAGAUUUGGUGUGCUCUCUUUUUCUGGGAACAUGUGUCUUGUAGAGUGAUAAAAAUGCUCUUUGACUGAUUCCCAUGAGCGUCCAUGAAUACAUCUGUGAUUCAGUGCCAAUCAAAACAGCUCCAAGAAAUGCAAAUCACAUAUGCAGUAACAGAACAAGAGGAAGCCUCAUUUCUACUCAACCUGGCCUGUAAACUCCUCACACCGCCUGUGAUACACAGCACCCUGGGAGUCCUAUGGAAAGCUGCAAAUAAAAGACUUCAUCAGGAAAAAUACGACAUGGACCCAAUAACCUGCGAAUGUUCCAAUAAAUAGGAUUGGAAAGAAAAAAGGUUAGAGGAGACGAAAAGGAAAGGAAUAUAAAAAGUGUUUCAUGUUGCUAAGAUUUGGGCCAGGUAGUGGUCUAUAAACUGUCAGCUAACACCAGAGCGAGUGUUGUGGCUUGUUGUGUAAAAAUGGCUGGAAAAUAUUGCCAGUACUGAACAUUUUGUCAGCAUUUAUUAAGCAUCAUGAAAAUGACCCUUGUUCCCGCUCAGACCUCGUCAACAAUAAAUGAGUAAAUGAAUCCAUAAAUAAAUAGUGAUUCACCGCAUGAGCCAUAAUGGGACUAAUCCGUUAAUCGGGUUGUCAUCAGGAUCUAAUGGUUUUAGAGAUUUCCAAGUCCAUUCAU